GUAGGUGGCAAGCGUUGUCCGGGAAUUAUUGGGGCGUAAAGCGCGCGCAGGCGGUUCUUUAAGUCUGAUGUGAAAGCCCACGGGCUCAACCGUGGAGGGUCAUUGGAAACUGGAGAACUUGAGUACAGAAGAGGAAAGCGGAAUUCCACGUGUAGCGGUGAAAUGCGUAGAGAUGUGGAGGAACACCAGUGGCGAAGGCGGCUUUCUGGUCUGUAACUGACGCUGAGGCGCGAAAGCGUGGGGAGCAAACAGGAUUAGAUACCCUGGUAGUCCACGCCGUAAACGAUGAGUGCUAAGUGUUAGGGGGUUUCCGCCCCUUAGUGCUGCAGCUAGCGCAUUAAGCACUCCGCCUGGGGAGUACGGCCGCAAAGGCUG
Molecule: ribosomal RNA, 375 nt
Filed under: uncultured organism
Description: partial 16S ribosomal RNA
Rfam family: Bacterial small subunit ribosomal RNA
Source: RNAcentral